GUUCUCUCUCCUUCUUUCUCUCAAUCUCUGAGCUUACUCUCUCCGUGCAUUUCCUCUUCACUCUCCUGCUGGGUUUGAUGCUAUUCCUGAAACUCCUCUCCCACCAUUGCUCUCCUUAUCCUUGAUCAUCGGAAAUGAAAACCUCUUCGGUCAAGUACACCGAGCACAAACAGGUCACUAAUAAGCUCGUUAAAUGCAGUGACUCAAACUCUACCAGAGUAGUUCGGAUUUAUGUUACAGAUGGUGACGCAACGGAUUCCUCCAGCGAUGAAAAUGACAACUUAAUGUGCAGCCAUCAACGAAUCAAGAAACAUAUCAACGAGAUAAGAAUUGAAGAUUGUGUGGAAUAUGCAAUUGGAAGAGGCUCUGAGAAUUCAAAAUCAAGGUUUAACAAACAACCACUGAGAAAAAACACUAGAGAUCAGCGGUAUUAUCCAGAGGGUAAGAAGUACCGCGGGGUUCGACAAAGGCCAUGGGGAAGAUUUGCCGCUGAGAUCAGGGAUCCUUUCCGGAGAACUAGAGUAUGGUUAGGGACGUUUGACACUGCGGAGGAAGCUGCCAUGGUUUAUGACAGGGCUGCCAUUAAGAUUAAAGGGCCAAACGCUCUCACCAAUUUCAUAAAACCACCUGUGAGAACUCUUUCCCCAGAUAUUGAUAUUGCUGCAAUUUCUGAAUAUGAUUCUGGCAUGGACUCUCGCAGUCUGAGUUCUCCGACGUCUGUUCUUAGAUUUCAAUACACGGAAGAAGUUGGAAAUGAGCCACAAGUUUUGGAGGGUAAUGAGAGCGGACCAGUUGAAGAAAUGAAAGAGAAAGAGUGUGAUUGGAGAUUGAAUCAGGAAAUAGAGGAAAAGGAUUGGAGAUCCAUCCAGGGUGUACGGGAAGAAGACCCAGUUGAUUGUUGUUUUGAAGAGUUGUUGAAUUUUGAGAAUUAUGCUCCGACACUUUUGGAUGAAUGUAUUAUACAAGAUACAGUUUUAACAGAGGGUUUUGUCGAUGUUGAUGGAGAUUUUGGGUCAUGUUUAUGGGACGUAGAUGAAUACUUUUGAGGGCUAAAGCUUGCAAAAUUGGGUAUAUGGAGUGGGUAAAUUCCGAGUGGAGUUUUGGAUACUUUGCUUGCAUUAUUAUUAUUAUUUUUUCUUUUUGUAUUGGGGGGGAGUGAAAGGUUUAAUUCCUUUUUCUCACUAGAAAUGUAUAGCAAGGAAGACACUAUAUUUUGAUAUUUAUAUAUUAUAUAUAGAGAGAUAUGAUGAUGCUACGGGUUUUUGUUGGUUUUUAAAGCAAUAUAAUCUAAAAAACGAGUGGUUUGGUUUGGUUCAUAUAUUAUUUCAUAGUGGGUGACGUUCUUUCAAGAUCUGGCCAAAAAUCUUGAAAAUCCAGAGUUCCUUGGAUUAGGUAUGUGCCUCUUCCUUUUUGGUUGGUUCAUGGGUUUUCCUUGAAAGUUUUCAAUUUUUGCAGCUUGGGAAUCUAUUUUCUUGGAAUCCUGGCCGGUGAAUUUGUUCUAUGCUUUGCUUAGUGGGUUGUUCUCUUUUGCCAGUUGAAGUGUACUAAGAUCUUGAAAUUGGUCUGCAAAUAAAGGGUUGUUGUGUUUCUUUUGAAGAGGUUGCUUUUUCCCUGUAGAAAGUCUUGAAAUUUUAUCCCAAAAUGUCACCUUCUGAGCCUCACAUGUAUGAAAGAGUUUCUUGAUAAGUUAGUAUAUAUUUCCAGCACUUCAAGAAUGCAACCAUGGAAAUUUUUCAAGAAAAGGAAAAGGAGGCUAGAUAGUUAAUGCAUGGUUAUUCCAUGGAUUUGGUUUCAUUCUACUUGGUUGUGAAAGCUGAGCCAAGAAGGGUAAAGGCAGAUAGAUAAGAAGAAGAAAAAGAAUGAGUUAAUCAUAUGCAUGCACAGCGGCAGUGGUGUGUCAGAUCUGUGUGAGCGAAGGGAAAGAGUAGAGAGGUCAUUUUGUUUUCGCUGAGAAAUUAUUUGAUCUCUCCUUGGACUUUGCUUUUGUCUUCUCAAACACAUCAUCCAAGAAAUUAAAGCUGAGAUGCCAAAACCACAACCAGCUCAUCAGAAUAAUGACUCAU
Molecule: unclassified non-coding RNA, 2063 nt
Filed under: Hevea brasiliensis (rubber tree)
Lineage: Eukaryota; Viridiplantae; Streptophyta; Magnoliopsida; Malpighiales; Euphorbiaceae
Source: RNAcentral